RNAcentral lists this ribosomal RNA (406 nucleotides) under uncultured bacterium. Its description in RNAcentral is "partial 16S ribosomal RNA". It matches the Rfam family "Bacterial small subunit ribosomal RNA", at positions 30 to 526 of the family's 1533-position model. The record is from RNAcentral.
AUUGAACGCUAGCUACAGGCUUAACACAUGCAAGUCGAGGGACCGGCGCACGGGUGAGUAACACGUAUCCAACCUGCCCUUUACUCGGGGAUAGCCUUUCGAAAGAAAGAUUAAUACCCGAUAUAAAGGAUGGGGAUGCGUUACAUUAGUUUGUUGGUGAGGUAACGGCUCCCCAAGCCUGCGAUGGAUAGGGGUUCGGAGAGGAAGGCCCCCUACAUUGGAACGGAGAACCAGACCAAACUCGUAGGGGAGGCAGGAGAGAGGAAUAUUGGGCAAUGGGCGCUAGCCUGAACCAGCCAAGUAGCGUGAAGGAGGAAGGCGUAUGAGUCGUAAACUUCUUUUAUAGAAGAAUAUGUAUUAGAUGAAUAAGGAUCGGCUAACUCCGUGCCAGCCGCCGCGGUAAUAC